AGCUCCGAUAGCGUAUAUUAAAGUUGUUGCAGUUAAAAAGCUCGUAGUUGAACUUCUAAGAUUUGAAGUUGCCAUACGGACUGUACUGAUAAUCUUAUCCGCUUUGAUUUAGCAAUACGCACUUUGUUGGGCGAUUGUGUAAUCAAGCAAUUUACUUUGAAAAAAUUAGAGUGUUUCAAGCAGGCGAUUUGCUGGAAUACAUUAGCAUGGAAUAAUAGAACACGACCUCUUAGGCAUUUUAUUGGUAUAUGUUUGGAGGUAAUGAUUAACAGGGACAGUUGGGGGCAUUAGUAUUGCAUUGUCAGAGGUGAAAUUCAUUGAUUAGUGCAAGACUAACUUAUGCGAAAGCAUUUGCCAAGGAUGUUU
RNAcentral lists this ribosomal RNA (366 nucleotides) under uncultured eukaryote. RNAcentral's name for it is "SSU rRNA". It matches the Rfam family "Eukaryotic small subunit ribosomal RNA", at positions 587 to 969 of the family's 1831-position model. The record is from RNAcentral.